CAGGCUAUGCAUUCCGUGUG
This 20-nucleotide microRNA is filed under the name Heligmosomoides polygyrus. RNAcentral's name for it is "hpo-miR-5899a-5p". Lineage: Eukaryota; Metazoa; Nematoda; Chromadorea; Rhabditida; Heligmosomidae. The record is from miRBase by way of RNAcentral.